UAAAGGUCAUGAUGAACACAAGCACACCUGAGUAGGAUGCUCUCCAGGACCAUCACCUGCAUUAAUGACAGACCUUAAGGAUCGUUUAGAGCAGUGAGGUAGAGAGAUGGUCAAUCUGUAACGCCGGGAGAGAAAUUACAGCUUCUUAAGUCAGAGAACUGACGACGGGAAACGCAGCGGCGGCCGGAGGAGGAGCUAGGGCUGAUGAAUUCGAGACGUUUUUUUUUAAGAAUAGCGGAGGGAAAGAAGAAAAAUAAAGCUUUUUCUUUUUGUUUCUGUUAAUGGGCUUUAUUAGGCCCAAUACGUUUGCUUUUCUCCUUCAUGUGAAGCCCAACUAGAUUUAUUAUAUUUCAUAUUUACAAUCUGACAACACAAAAAUGGAGAAAUGUUGUGUACUAAUUCGGAAAUUUACAUCAAAAUCCUAACCAACCCC
Long non-coding RNA from Brassica oleracea var. oleracea, 433 nucleotides. RefSeq lists it as uncharacterized. NCBI's taxonomy places the organism in Eukaryota, Viridiplantae, Streptophyta, Magnoliopsida, Brassicales, Brassicaceae. The record is from RefSeq and is a predicted model, not a curated record. The transcript has 2 exons.